Lycium ferocissimum is the source of this 107-nucleotide small nucleolar RNA. The record is from RefSeq and is a predicted model, not a curated record. NCBI's taxonomy places the organism in Eukaryota, Viridiplantae, Streptophyta, Magnoliopsida, Solanales, Solanaceae.
AAACCAUGAUUCGGAGAUCUCAUCAAAUACUACUUGAACCUCUCCCAAGCUUCAUAAAGUUGUUCCCCUGGUAGUUGCUUGAACUCAAAUAUCUUGUCUCUAAGCUC